This 468-nucleotide ribosomal RNA is filed under the name uncultured bacterium. RNAcentral describes it as "partial 16S ribosomal RNA". It matches the Rfam family "Bacterial small subunit ribosomal RNA", at positions 28 to 507 of the family's 1533-position model. The record is from RNAcentral.
GACGAACGCUGGCGGCGUGCUUAAUACAUGCAAGUCGAACGGACAGGCCCUGCUUUUGUGGGGUGCUCGAGUGGCGAACGGGUGAGUAACACGUGAGUAACCUGCCCUUGACUUUGGGAUAACUUCAGGAAACUGGGGCUAAUAUCGGAUAGGAGCUCCUGCUGCAUGGUGGGGGUUGGAAAGUUUCGGCGGUUGGGGAUGGACUCGCGGCUUACCAGCUUGUUGGGGGGGUAGUGGCUUACCAAGUCUUUGAAGGGUAGCCGGCCUGAGAGGGUGACCGGCCACAAUGGGACUGAGAUACGGCCCAGACGCCUACGGGAGGCAGCAGUGGGGAAUAUUGCACAAUGAGCGGAAGCCUGAGGCAGCAACGCCGCGUGCGGGAUGACGUCCUUCGGGUUGUAAACCGCUGUCGCCUGUGACAAAGCGUGAGUGACGGUAAUGGGUAAAAAAGCACCGGCUAACUACGUG